This 1487-nucleotide ribosomal RNA is filed under the name uncultured bacterium. Its description in RNAcentral is "SSU rRNA". It matches the Rfam family "Bacterial small subunit ribosomal RNA". The record is from RNAcentral.
GAUUAGAGUUUGAUCAUGGCUCAGGACGAACGCUGGCGGCGUGCCUAACACAUGCAAGUCGAACGGGGUAAAGACUUCGGUUUUUACUUAGUGGCGAACGGGUGAGUAACGCGUGAGAAACCUGCCUUUCAGUGGGGGACAACAGUUGGAAACGACUGCUAAUACCGCAUAAUGUUAUUUAGGGGCAUCCCUGAAUAACCAAAGCUUUAUGUGCUGAAAGAUGGUCUCGCGUCUGAUUAGCUAGAUGGCGGGGUAACGGCCCACCAUGGCGACGAUCAGUAGCCGGUCUGAGAGGAUGAACGGCCACAUUGGGACUGAGAUACGGCCCAGACUCCUACGGGAGGCAGCAGUGGGGAAUAUUGGGCAAUGGGGGAAACCCUGACCCAGCAACGCCGCGUGAAGGAAGAAGGCCUUCGGGUUGUAAACUUCUUUUAGCAGGGACGAAGAACGUGACGGUACCUGCAGAAAAAGCAACGGCUAACUACGUGCCAGCAGCCGCGGUAAUACGUAGGUUGCAAGCGUUGUCCGGAUUUACUGGGUGUAAAGGGCGUGUAGGCGGAGAUGCAAGUUGGGAGUGAAAUCCCGGGGCUCAACCCCGGAACUGCUUUCAAAACUGCAUCCCUUGAGUAUCGGAGAGGCAAGCGGAAUUCCUAGUGUAGCGGUGAAAUGCGUAGAUAUUAGGAGGAACACCAGUGGCGAAGGCGGCUUGCUGGACGACAACUGACGCUGAGGCGCGAAAGCGUGGGGAGCAAACAGGAUUAGAUACCCUGGUAGUCCACGCAGUAAACGAUGGAUACUAGAUGCAGGGGGUAUUCACUCCUUCUGUGUCGCAGCUAACGCAAUAAGCACUCCGCCUGGGGAGUACGGUCGCAAGACUGAAACUCAAAGGAAUUGACGGGAGCCCGCACAAGCAGUGGAGUAUGUGGUUUAAUUCGACGCAACGCGAAGAAUCUUACCAGGACUUGACAUCCCGAGAAUCCGACGUAAUGGUUGGAGUGCCCUUCGGGGAAUUCGGUGACAGGUGGUGCAUGGUUGUCGUCAGCUCGUGUCGUGAGAUGUUGGGUUAAGUCCCGCAACGAGCGCAACCCUUGUUCUUAGUUGCCAUCGUUUAGUUGGGCACUCUAAGGAGACUGCCGGUGACAAACCGGAGGAAGGUGGGGAUGACGUCAAAUCAUCAUGCCCCUUAUGACCUGGGCUACACACGUGCUACAAUGGACGAUACAAACGGUUGCCAACCCGCGAGGGGGAGCUAAUCCGAUAAAAUCGUUCUCAGUUCGGAUUGUAGGCUGCAACUCGCCUACAUGAAGCCGGAAUCGCUAGUAAUCGCGGAUCAGCAUGCCGCGGUGAAUACGUUCCCGGGCCUUGUACACACCGCCCGUCACACCACGAGAGUUUGUAACACCCAAAGUCGGUGGGGUAACCUUCGGGAGCCAGCCGCCUAAGGUGGGAUAGAUGAUUGGGGUGAAGUCGUAACAAGGUAACCAAUC